This 365-nucleotide long non-coding RNA is filed under the name Homo sapiens (human). RNAcentral describes it as "non-protein coding NUTM2B-AS1:21". Lineage: Eukaryota; Metazoa; Chordata; Mammalia; Primates; Hominidae. The record is from RNAcentral.
CGCAUGGCUCCAUGAAGCAAGAGGAGGAGGCAGAGCGCGAGAGGUCCCGUCCGCCCCAGCCGCGUCUGGGCCAGGAUAAAAGCAAAACCAUAUUCCUGCUGCUGUCAGUUAUGAUGCACUGAGAAAACUUCAGAGACCUAAACUUUUUCCAGAGAAGAGAAGCUUUACUGGUGUUCCAGCCCUAAGAAACUUAAAUCCUCAGUGUGAAACCUUUGUUCAAGAAAACGGCAGAUGCUCUGUUGAAUCCACUGGAGAUUGUUCUGAUACUAAGGACAAGUAUCAACCAUCUUUCCUGUGAAAAAUUCCCUCUCGUACUUUAGUUCUGUGGAUCCAAAAUUUAUAGCAUUCUUCUACCACCACAGGGG